Molecule: long non-coding RNA, 488 nt
Filed under: Struthio camelus australis
Lineage: Eukaryota; Metazoa; Chordata; Aves; Struthioniformes; Struthionidae
Description: lncRNA (ENSSCUG00000007020.1)
Source: RNAcentral
UUUCAGCAGCUUUUCAUCACACUGUCCUGCCACCCUCUGCUUUCUGUGAAAGGAGCUGCUGUGAGGAAGCCGAUCCUCCAGUAGCCAGUGCGGCAUGGAAAAGGGGCUCACAUGACUACAGAAAAACAGAGAGAGCAUUGGCUCUAGAGGGUGCAAGGAGAGGCUCAGUUUGAGACUCAAAGUUUGGGAGAGCAAGAAGGACAGCGGCAGAAGUGGGACCUCUGGGAUGAUACAGCUGGUCGUACUCCCAGGACGGGAGAAUAAAGCUGAUGGUGAAAGGGAACCCAGCCCCAGCGUGGGUUUACAACAACAAGCCAGAUGUCUUAAGCCUUAGACAGCAUGGGCUUUCUCCUUUGAAUACAGCAAACACCAGAUUCCAAAGGAAGGUCGGAUCUCCAACAAGUGGUGCCUCUGAAUUCCAGAAUGGCAUUCAGGCCUGUGAAUUUUGCUGUGAUCCACAGAACCAAUUUUAUCUUCCAUGGGCAGGA